Molecule: long non-coding RNA, 6378 nt
Organism: Canis lupus familiaris (dog)
Lineage: Eukaryota; Metazoa; Chordata; Mammalia; Carnivora; Canidae
Exons: 7
Source: RefSeq, a predicted model, not a curated record
AAUGGUAACCACAGAGAAGGACUGCCCUAUGAAAACAGAUGAGAGAAUUGAACCAUCACAGCCUGGAAGAAGUCUCAACAGAGAUACACAGUCAUCACCUAUAAAACUGAAAAGGGUCAAAAUGAAUGUUAAUUUGUUCACUAAGUCAUGAGGUAGAGGAGAGGACACCCUUUGAAAUUUAAGCAGAGCAAGUUGAAGACAAAAAUACAAUUUUCUGCAUGUAACUCCAGGAAGUUUCCCAGACCAAGAAUAUAAAUAGAUUCCAAAAAGUUUUGGGAAAAAAUACAAAUAAGCCAUAAAUGUUUUGUAAGAAAGUGUUAAGAAAUCCCAAGCUCUUACUGGUACUACUAGGGGACGAUGGGGCUCACUUACAGCAUGCUGCUUUGGGUUGCUGCUGGCACAGGGAUGCGGGCCUAGCUAAUAAUGGGUGUGACCUGGUGUGACAGUUGUUGGGAAGGUUACUCAUUACUUAAGUACAGUGAUGUGGUCAGUCUCUUUAAGCUACACUGAGAGAGUGCAAGCAGAAUAUUCAUAACUAGAUUUUCAGAGAAUACUAUGGUGUGUGGGGGAAGGGAGAAGCCAUUACAGUAACGUUGGAAUUAAAAUCCCAAACCAAAUACUUGCAUAGGGAACUGUUAGGCCUUCCCUCUCUGCACUCCUUUCUCCCAGCUCUGCUUCCUGUCAAUCAAUAGUUGAGGUGACUGAGACUCCGUGAGCCAGGAACUUGCCUAAGGCUGAUUGCCAGUUUGGGCUGAUCCUUUACUUUUCAACAGCUGAAUUGCAUCCAGGGCUGAAGACUAACUGGUACAUGUAACCUUCAAGAAUGAUACAGGCUUGAGAAACUUGCUUCAAAAAUUCCAUUCACAGAGUCCAUCCAUAUAUCAGCAGUAAGAAAUCUCGAAAGUGCCAAGAAGACAGUGGAAAGUAUUCUGGCUCAAAUUAAUUAAAGAAUCAACAGAGAAGGAGGAUGGGAGAGUUAUACAUCCCAGGUUUCUAGAAGCCACAAAGAUCUGAUACCAACUUGCCCAACUUGUUUAUCUUACUGAUGAAACAGGGAUGGUACCGAUCUCUCCACUUCUGUGGUUGCAGCAAAAAGGCAGCCUAAGGACGAUUUGCCCACAUUAAGUCUGCUCGUAACAACAACACAACAACAACACAACAACACAUAGAGACUGAAGAAUUUGAAGACUUAAGAGAAGAUUUAUGCUGCACAAAUGUUUCAUUUCUGCCUGACUGUGAUACCUGGGGAAUUCAAAGGCCAGUUUGAAAUGUACCACGUGGUAUUCCUCUGGCCACUUAUGUCUCUCAGUCCAAGUGGCAAAAAUGGAGACAAAGAGUUACCAUUUACUAAUUACAAUCCCAGUGAUAAAAAAAAAAAAAGAAAGAAGAAGAAGAAAGAAGAAAGAAAAGAAAGAAAGAAAGAAAGAAAGAAAGAAAGAAAGAAAGAAAGAAAGAAAGAAAGAAAAAGAAAGAAAAAGAAAUCCAGCAGGAGGAGCUCUAACAUGUCUCAGAGCUCAAAGUUUAAAAACAAAAAAGUUUAAUGCAAACACAGGAAAACAGAGAAGCAGUUGUGCCUUGCAAGCUGCCAUGUCGGUGGACAAACAUGUGACUAAAGUCCAAUUAAAUGGUCAGCGCGCAGGCAGGUGACGAUCCUGGCCGAGGCCGAAGCACCAACACCCCCCCAUUCCCCACCCCCAGUGCCACCUUCCAUGAACCUCCUUGUUCUGAUGCAGCUAAACUGGGAUUGGAGCCGUGGCAGUUAGCUCUUACAAAAGUGAGAGCAAAAGGCCGACUUUGAGACAGGUCUAGAAGCCAUUCUUUUCCUCCUACAGUGUCAUACUGUCUCUACUCGAGUCUGGGACACUGGCUCCAGCACUGCAUUUAAAAAUGGAUUUUUUUCUCAGCGGUUGGCAGCACUACAAAAAUUCCCAAACGCUCCCUCUCCUUCACUCAGUGGCUUGAUGGGUGCUUUUCUAAAAUGAGGGAAAUGCUCUCUUUGUAAAAAUUGGUGCUAAAAGGGCAAGGAAUCAUAUGUCCCCUGGGCCAUGUAAAGAGUCUGCAGAAAGAAUUAUAGCUUUCUAACACACACGCACACACACAUCAACUGGAAACAAAGAAUUUACUCAGGAAAACAUUGAGAAGUAUAUGAAUAUAACAGUUAUAGGAUUUGGGGGUAAGCCUUUCCAUUUUGAACAGUGUUGUGGGAGUGGAAUGGACGAGUGGGCAUACAGGAUGGUCAGAAUUACUUAACCUGAAGGAAACUUGCAACCAAUCCCUUUUAAUCUAUUGCCAAUAAGAAGUCAAACUUUUUGUUUUACACCUUAAUGGUAUGCCCACAUUUUAAAUUUUUAUACAAGCUUCUACAGAAACUUUAACUAGACCAAUUCAGACCAAAAAUCACUAAAUAAAGCUAGUCUAGACGGAAAAAUCUAUGAAAACCAUAUGUCUUUUAGGCAUCUGCCUUAAGAAAACUGCCAUCAUCCUGGAGAAAUAGUUCACAAAAUAUGCUUUCAGGAAAACACUGCUGCGAUGACCAUGGGGAGCUGUGCUUAAGAAGACAGUUGGGCUAGGAGAAAGUCAAGCCAAAAUGUUUACCAGUGAAAGGCUUACAUGUCUGCAUAUGUCUGUCUGUAAACAUCACCGAAAUGACAGGCAGAGGCCGACAUCAUUUCUAUUUCCGUUAUCUUAGAAGGAAUCAGAAAAGUUAGUUUUGUUCCUCCACAUUCCUGCAGAAUGUUAGACCAAGGGAUCUCAGAGCCACUCUGUCCUCACUCACAGAAAAUGGUUUUGGAUAAUGUUGUAUGUGGAUGAGGUCAAAGAACCAGAACAUUUUCUUCUGAUUAUUUCCUCAUCCUGCUGGCCUGCCAAACACAGGCAGGAGGCAGGUGUCCGACUAAGUGACUGAACGAUGACUGUUCCGUGUAGUUGGAUGGAGGGCCCUCCGGAGACAAAGGGACUCAGGACUAGGGUACAAAGUGAGAGUGCAAUGAGAAUGCAGUAAAGAGAAAUUGUUCUAAAACCCUGCUCUCCCGAUUAAAUAUAUUGCUCUCUGGAGACAGUGGUCAGAGCUACCUUUGUUAUUCUAGCUACAUAUUCUUACAUCUCAAAAUGCACAUUUAAUAAGUAACCUGAAAUCCAUAGGAAAAAAAAAGAGAAAAGCAAACUUUAAUGAUAAAAAUAAUAACAUUUUAACUGAAAGCUCAACAGUCUAUGGAGAUUAUGAAAGUAUUUAUAAAUUACCAAGAUACCUUGUAACCCUCAAGAAUAUUUUCUCCUUGCUCAACAGGCCAGGGGACUUUGGAACAACAAAGUAGCAAUGGCUAGUGGCAUGAAUAGGUCAUUUGGUCACCUAGAGGGUUGUGAAUGCAUGAUGUAUAUUGAAUAGCUACACGUGGAGAAAAGGUCCUGGGUUGGAGGAGUCAGGUAUAGUAUAAAAGAAGGAAAUUUAAAAGAUGUGGUCAGUCAUACACUAAAGUUUCAAGCACAGAGGAAAACACUAUUUCAACAUGCUUAUUCAAAGAUGAUGUGCUUUAAAAUGAGUUUUCAAUAUACUUAGUUUUCAAGUAAUAGGAUGCUAAGGGGGGUAAAUGCAGAGCGUUUGAAAUAUUAAAACAAAUCAAGCAAUCAUAGCAACACCCCUCACUACAGAUUCCUAAACUGAACGAUAGGGCAUUUAAGUUAAUCGAAGUCUGAUGAGUCACUGGGAUUUCUGGGGUCCACCAAUUUCAGUCCCAAGUGCUCUGAUACUACUUUUGUUGAGCUAAAACGACAAGUUUGCUUUCUUUCAAAUAAUAUGUGUAGCAUGGAUUUUAUUUUGACUUCGGAUCCAGAUAUGUGGAGGGAAAUUACUGCAGUGGUUUCUCUAGUUAACACAUUUACUAAUGUUUCCUUAAUUUUCCACCCCAAGAGGCAAUAAUUAAGGUAGAAUUUGCCUCACAUGAAGUUUUAUUAUUUUAGUUAUUAAAAUAUUUUCCAACACUACCACGAAGCAAAAAGAAGUUCUAGUUGAUUUAAAAAUAAGUAGAUGUUUUCCCCAGGUUUUAUAGCUUUUCCUCCGUAAAUGGUGGUCUAAAGGUGGAGCAGUGUAUAGACUUUCUGGCAAAGUCCCUUGAAUGUGAUGCUAAGGGUAGAUUUAUUUGAAGGAAAAAAUUCAUUCACUCUUAAAAUUGGCUUUGAGAACAAUCCUAAUAUAAACUUAAAAAAAUACACAUGAUACAGAAUAUAUCGUAUAUAAAUAUCCAUUCCCCAGUGAAAUAAUUUCAUUUUAGACUUUCUGGGCUACAAAGUCUUCCUCAUCUACCCUCCUAAGCGGUCUCAUUAUAGAUCAGUGUGAUAUAUACUGACCAAGAGAAGUGUCGAUAAUGCUGCCUCAUGCAAAUCUGAAACUAGAGAUAGGUAAUAUUUACAUGGUGGAGGCGACUGGUAUAUUUGAAUUGUAAAAUAAAAUCAUUUCCCAGAUCAUAUUCAAAACCACCCGAGGCCACCUUCUCACACCUCUCACUUCCUCUCGGUUCUCGAAACUGCCACAGAAGCCUGGGGAUGCCCAUGUGGCGGUGCAUCUAGUUUGUGGUUUUCCAGGCCUUCACAUCAUUCUCCCUCUCUGUUGCUUCCUCAGCCCUUCCACAAACAAAGCAGGGAUGGAAUGUAACUUAUUGCUAAACUUUGUAUCAACUUGCACAUUUACUGGGUUCCCAGUAUUCACACCUUAGCCUAUUUUUCAGCAUUUUAACUAAUCUCAAUAGGGGAAAAUGUUGACUUUAUGAGAUAUGGAACUCUCCUUGUGUCUGAACAAUGGAAGUCAAGAAGGCCCAGCAUUGCCACUGACUAUGAGUGAAGGAGGAUUUUGCCAUCUGCCAUUUUGAUUAACCAUUUUUUUUUUUUAAAUCCUUGGAUGGAAUGUGUCCUUUCUCAGUUCAUAUGAGCUGAUCGUUUUGGCUGGAAUGCAGGAAUGGACAUUUCCUAGUGUUUAUGGGAAUUGUUAAAAAAAUAAUUCCAGAAAUUAGAGCACUUGCUAUUUGUGGUUUUGCCUAUCAUGUGGCUCUGGUGCCUGAAAAGCAGCCAAAAGGAAAAGAAAGUACGACACCACACCAUGAGGCUGCCGAAUACCUUGUGGCUUUAGACUUUGCCCUAGGUAGAAAUUCUCCUAGUUUUGAUCAGAGUUGCCAAGUGAUCUAAACUUUCAUCGAAAUACAGGUAAUAUGGUGUCAAUACACCUGCAGAAUCUCUCAAACUCAAUGUCCUUCCAAUGCCAACCCCCCUUCCCCUGCACUUAAAAAUACUGGCCAGACCAAAAGUGUAAUAUUCUUUUGGCAACAGCAUUAAGUAAGCCAGAUGGAUUUCAUUUGGCAACUAAAGGGUGUAAAUAUGUGUUUAGAUUCAGAGGUUCCCCCCCCCCCCCCCCGACAAUGGUUACAAUAUGUUGGCUCUAGUAAGCUAAAGGAUUUCAGUGUUGGGCAUUUAAAAAUUGUACGUCUAAGCGGCAAUAAAGUUAUGACAAGCAGACAAAAGCCAUCAAACCCUCAGCUAAAUCCUCCUCUCCUUUCUCAUAUUGCUGGAGGUAAGCAUUUAGGGCCCGUUCUGAGUGAAAGAGGUGACAUUUACAAUUUCAUGUUUAAUUUCCUGGCUGUUUAUCGGCCAGAGCCACUCCAGUAAGCUGAAUUUCGCUUCUUUCACAGUAGCUGGUAAGUCACAGGGAAGGAAGAAGCGCCCAGCAGCUUCUCGGAGCAUGCUGCUUGGAUAAAAUUUGGAGGUGGAAGAGCCACGCAUCACAUUGUGCUAUGAAUCUCCAAAGUCACUAAAAAAUGUGCCAUCUAACCAACACUGUCUGCAUGUCAAGGUUUUCUCUGUAAAAUCAUUCUUUUCUUACAGCAAAGGAGACAAAAGAAGGCGACGAUGAAAGGGAAGUACUAGCCCGUGUCUGUCUGCUUACACUGGGCGGGAUUCACUUCUCUUCUCCUUUCCUUUCUCUUUGUUUCUUUUCCUUUUGAGCUGACAUCAACUUGUAUAUAGGAACAUUCAGCAGAUUCCAACUGGUGACAGUUUGCUGCUGACUGGCCACAGGAAGAAUAAUAAGCAUUUACUGUGCAUUUUUCACUGGUCAGUGGCUCUCUUGCCAGACUCCCGUCUUGGCUGUCUUCAUCAAUCAGCAUUUCCAGCUCCCUCACCGAAGGCGAAGGCUCGGGGCACAGAAACCAGAACAGCUUGAGCGGCUGAGAAAAGCUGGGCCGAAAACGACUCCCCCCGCCCCUCUCCUUCCUCUUCCUUUACAUUGGAAUGGAAAGAUAUAAUAAAAAUAAUUCAAAAAAACCCCAACACACCCGAACGCUCAUGGUCUCUGUCCAGUAGCAAGUGCUUUCAUUACAUCUGAGUAGGGUUAAA